GGACCUACAACAUUGCGGCCAACCACAUCAGUGACAAUUGAGGGACCUACAACAUUGCGGCCAACCACAUCAGUGACAACUGAGGUAACUACAUCAACAGAAGUCUUAUCAACUUGCCAGUGGGUCUGUUGGGAAAAAACAACAGUGCCAACGUCCGCAUUAGUGACAACUGAGGAACCUACAACAGGGCUA
Anneissia japonica is the source of this 192-nucleotide long non-coding RNA. RefSeq lists it as uncharacterized. NCBI's taxonomy places the organism in Eukaryota, Metazoa, Echinodermata, Crinoidea, Comatulida, Comatulidae. The transcript is spliced from 4 exons. The record is from RefSeq and is a predicted model, not a curated record.